GGGUGGUAAUGCCGGAUGCUCCACAUGAUCGCAUGUGAUUGUGGGAAAGAUUCUAUCGGCGUGGGAUGGGGUCGCGUCCUAUCAGCUUGUUGGUGAGGUAACGGCUCACCAAGGCUUCGACGGGUAGCCGGCCUGAGAGGGCGACCGGCCACAUUGGGACUGAGAUACGGCCCAGACUCCUACGGGAGGCAGCAGUGGGGAAUAUUGCACAAUGGGCGCAAGCCUGAUGCAGCGACGCCGCGUGAGGGAUGGAGGCCUUCGGGUUGUAAACCUCUUUUGUUUGGGAGCAAGCCUUCGGGUGAGUGUACCUUUCGAAUAAGCGCCGGCUAACUACGUGCCAGCAGCCGCGGUAAU
Molecule: ribosomal RNA, 354 nt
Filed under: Bifidobacterium bifidum
Lineage: Bacteria; Bacillati; Actinomycetota; Actinomycetes; Bifidobacteriales; Bifidobacteriaceae
Description: bacterial SSU rRNA
Rfam family: Bacterial small subunit ribosomal RNA
Source: RNAcentral